GAAGUUAAUACCCGAUGGCAUAGUUCUUCCGCAUGGUGGAACUAUUAAAGAAUUUCGGUCAUCGAUGGGGAUGCGUUCCAUUAGGUUGUUGGCGGGGUAACGGCCCACCAAGCCUUCGAUGGAUAGGGGUUCUGAGAGGAAGGUCCCCCACAUUGGAACUGAGACACGGUCCAAACUCCUACGGGAGGCAGCAUG
This 195-nucleotide ribosomal RNA is filed under the name uncultured bacterium. RNAcentral's name for it is "partial 16S ribosomal RNA". It matches the Rfam family "Bacterial small subunit ribosomal RNA", at positions 159 to 353 of the family's 1533-position model. The record is from RNAcentral.